AUUGCUUCAAUGGAGAAAAUGAGGUUGGGGUUUGAGAGUGUCAGAAUUGCCAUAAAAAAGUUAUUUUUCCUUCAGGAAUGACAAUAAUAAAGAUGCUUUUACAGCGUAAGUGUAUGGCUAUGAAAGAUGAACAUCACAGAGCAAAUCCAGCUUUAGACUUCCUCAUGAAUUUGCUCAAGAGGAACAGCCUUUUUAUCACUAGCUCAGACCUCCAAUCACCUUGACCAUCCUCUGCUAGAGUCACAAAGCAUCGAGUCCCUCUAAGGAGGCAUCCUAAAGACAUCAGGACAUGCCUUCGUCAGUGCCUACCAUCUCCUCCUCUAGUUCCCCUGUAGCAGAUUCCUCUCCUUCAUUGUAUUAUAACUAACUGUGAUCUGCUCAGUAUAAUUGUGCUCUUUAAUUAAAGGAUCACAUUAUAUUUAAUUUGCAUUGAAAAAUCCCACCAUAGGAGAAAUUCCUGGAGGUGUGAGAACAUUAAUGGCAGUAUGUAGAGGUAGUGUUGUGUCACAGUUAAGGGUGGGGCCUCUGGAGCCAGCCUUCCUGAGGUAAAAUCCUAACUUUGCCACUUACUAGCUAUGUGAACUUGGGCAAGUGACCUAAUCCUCUGUGCUUCAUCUUUCAGUUGGGGAGAAUAGAAGCAUCUACUUCAUGUAGUGGCCUGGAUUAGAAGAGGUGAAGAGUUCACAGCCUUCAAGGAAACAAGAAAUCAUGAGAUGGAGUGAAGGAAGGUGGCCUGGAACCAGCUGCUGAGCCUCUCUGAGCCCCAGUUUCCUCAUCUCUAAAAUGGGCCUGAUCUCCUCUCCCUCAGACGGUUGUUGCAGAAAUUAAAUGAGAGAGAGGAAGCCCCGGCUCAGCAGAAUGGAGUCACUUGCCCAGGGACAUCCAACUGAGCUGAUACUCUUUGUCUUCCCUAUGCUGCUUCUCUCUGGGUUUGGUAAAAGUUUUUAUCUUUACAAAAAACAGGAUCUCACUCUGUCACUGGCUGGAGUUAAGUGGUCUGGUCAUGGCUCACUGCAGCACCAAACUCCUGGGCUCAAGCAAUCUUCCUGUCUCAGCUUUCCAAGUAGCUAG
Molecule: long non-coding RNA, 1071 nt
Filed under: Callithrix jacchus (white-tufted-ear marmoset)
Lineage: Eukaryota; Metazoa; Chordata; Mammalia; Primates; Cebidae
Description: lncRNA (ENSCJAG00000051759.2)
Source: RNAcentral